GACGAACGCUGGCGGCGUGCCUAAUACAUGCAAGUCGAACGCAGUGGGGACGGGUGAGUAACACGUGGGUAACCUCCCAUCAGAGGGGAUAACACUUGGAAACAGGUGCUAAACCGAUACUGAUGGAUGGACACGCGGUGCAUUAGCGAGUUGGGGGGGUAACGGCUCACCAAGGCCACGAUGCAUAGCCGGCCUGAGAGGGUGAUCGGCCACACUGGGAUGGAGACACGGCCCAGCCGCCUACGGGAGGAAGCAUUGGGGAAUCUUCGGCAAUUGACGAAAGUCUGACCGAGCAACGCCGCGUGAGUGAAGAAGGUUUUCGGAUCGUAAAACUCUGUUGUUAGGGACGCGGUAUCUAACCAGAAAGCCCCGGCUAACUACGUGCCAGCAGCCGCGGUAAUAC
This 403-nucleotide ribosomal RNA is filed under the name uncultured bacterium. Its description in RNAcentral is "partial 16S ribosomal RNA". It matches the Rfam family "Bacterial small subunit ribosomal RNA", at positions 28 to 526 of the family's 1533-position model. The record is from RNAcentral.